Molecule: ribosomal RNA, 481 nt
Filed under: uncultured bacterium
Lineage: Bacteria
Description: bacterial SSU rRNA
Rfam family: Bacterial small subunit ribosomal RNA
Source: RNAcentral
GACGAACGCUGGCGGCGUGCCUAACACAUGCAAGUCGAACGGAGCUUGUUUAGAUUGAGACUUCGGUCAAUUUCUAUUUAAGCUUAGUGGCGGACGGGUGAGUAACGCGUGAGUAACCUGCCGUUCAGAGGGGGACAACAGUUGGAAACGACUGCUAAUACCGCAUAACGUAUCAUGUUGGCAUCAACGAGAUACCAAAGGAGCAAUCCGCUGAGAGAUGAGCUCGCGUCUGAUUAGAUAGUUGGUGAGGUAACGGCUCACCAAGUCGACGAUCAGUAGCCGGACUGAGAGGUUGAACGGCCACAUUGGGACUGAGACACGGCCCAGACUCCUACGGGAGGCAGCAGUGGGGAAGUAUUGCACAAUGGGCGCAAGCCUGAUGCAGCAACGCCGCCGUGAGGGAUGACGGUCUUCGGAUUGUAAACCUCUGUCCUUGGUGACGAAACAAAUGACGGUAGCCAUGGAGGAAGCCACGGCUAAC